RNAcentral lists this unclassified non-coding RNA (170 nucleotides) under uncultured fungus. Its description in RNAcentral is "sequence contains ITS1". The record is from RNAcentral. Lineage: Eukaryota; Fungi.
UUAACUUAUUUUAUAGGUAACUCAGAGAUGCCAAAAAUACAGGUGUUUGUAGGCCUUCGGCGGGCCGCCCCCUGAAGGGCCUUCCGCCGAAGCAACUUAUAGGUACGUUCACAGAGGGUUGGGAGUUUUGCAACUCUGUAAUGAUCCCUCCGCUGGUUCACCAACGGAGA